Molecule: long non-coding RNA, 5439 nt
Filed under: Sus scrofa (pig)
Lineage: Eukaryota; Metazoa; Chordata; Mammalia; Artiodactyla; Suidae
Description: lncRNA (ENSSSCG00030029902.1)
Source: RNAcentral
GGCUGUGCCCAUGGCAUAUGGAAGUUCUCAGGCUAGGGGUCUAAUCAGAGCUGUAGCUGCUGGCCCACACCACAGUUCACAGCAACGCCAGAUCCUCAAACCACUGAUGGAGGCCAGGGAUCAAACCCACGUCCUCAUGGAUGCUAGUCAGUUUUGUUAACCGCUGAGCCACAACGGGAACGGUACAGGAGUCUUUCCACCAGACUCCAAUUAGUUUUCAGUGAGAAUUUUUCCACAUGUAGAUAUAUUUUUGAUGUGUUUGUGGGGGGAGGUAAGUUCUGCAUCCUCCUACACUACCAUCUUGAGCUCCUCCCCUUAAAUACUUUUUUUUUGGGGGGCCAUGCCCAUGGCAUAGGGAAGUUCCUGGGCCAGAGAUUGAACAUGAGCCACAGUAGUGACAAUGCCAAGUCCUUAAACAUUAGGCCACCAGGAAGCUCCCCUCAAAUACUUAAUACAGUUUAAAAUUUUAUUUCCUUACCAAUGUCCCAACUUUUUCAUUUCUGAGUGAUAUUACCAUUCUUCUAGUUUCCCAAGCUUGAGAGGCUGAUGUCAUCUUGGUCGCUUUGCCAUUUAUCUCAUCCUUUAUUUAGACUGUAUUACCAUUAUUUAUUUCUCCAAAGUGUUCACAAAUUAGGUUCCUAUAUUUAACUCUGCCAUGACCUUCACUCAGGUAUGAUCACUGGAUUACUUCAACAGCUGCCAGUAAGUGUCUCUUCCAGACCACUCUCCCACCAACCUUCCAACAUCAUUGUCAGAGUGAUGUUUCUAAAAAAAAAUUUCAUUAUGUCACUCCCUGUUGAAGAUCCUACAGUGUUAUUAAGUUUAGGCUGCUUAUUCUUUUUUAAAGGCAGAAAAUUACCUGAUUUCCUCUUAUCUCUAUAACAUUAUUUUUUGCUUCUUUUCUGCAUUCCUCUCUGCCCAAAGGGUUCUCUUUGGUGUUAGCCCCACAGUAAGUUUGCUUUUACCACUCUUUCAAAAUAAAAAUUUAUUUUUGUUUUAUAUUUUAUCCCAGCUGGUAUAAUUAUACAUGCUCAAUAAACAUAUAUUUGUUUUCAAUAUUAUGUGAACGAUAUGCUAUUUAAAAAGGACAAUAAAACAUUUGACUUGCUGUUGAGAUAAGACUUUUUCAGUGUUGUCAGGAAGUAGAACUUCUCAGUUUUAAUGUGGGGGGUCAGUUAAAAAGGUGGCCCUACCUCACAGGAAAUAGAAAAGUGUCUACCCAAGACCUAUGAGUGCUUCUAAAUAUGUGUUGAUGGCUCUUCCAUAAUCUGGAAUGAGGUCUAUGUAACUACCUUUGAAUCAAUUUGUUUAUAAUUCAUUCAUUCAUUUAUGAUUCAACUUUUACAAGGCCAAAAAGAAAUAUGAAUAUAUUGAUUUUUAAAAAUGUUAGACUUAUAAGGCAUUCUCUUUAAAUGUUAAGACUCACAAGGCAUUCUCUUUCUUCAGUCUAUGUCAUUGCUUUUUAUUCAUCUAAUCCCUUGCAAAUACAUUUCCUAUUGCACUUCAAAGAAUAUAUGGUCUCUGUUUAUUUACCAUGUUUAUUAGUUUUUUCUUUCCCCAACCCAUGCUAAGUUUCUGAAAUACAGGAUCUUUGUCCUGUAAUUUUGUGAGAAUCUUAUGAUUUAGGGUAGAUAAGUGCUUGCUAUUUUAUGAAAUCAGACAAAGUAACAUGAACACACAAACUGCAAUGUGUGGAGAUGGAUUUUUAUCUGAGCAUUUAGGAAGAAAAUGCUUUGCAUCCAGGAAGAAAUCUCUUAGAGAGCUGUUAAAUACCAGAAUAGCAAGAAUGCAGCUAUUUAAAUAGUUCCUUAUGCAUCUUUUGCAUUGUGGUGUGCAAAUUCGGGCCAGUGAAUUUUCAGGGCAAUACGCUACCCAAGUGAAUCUGUUUCUCAUUUUAAAUAAUUCUUAAAAUAUGUGAAAUACUCAAUAAGCGUUCCCUCUUCUAAGGGUCUAGAUGAUGUCCAAAUCCUGGAUACACACUAGUCUAGGAUAUAUAAAAUGUCCUUACUAUUACUAAGUUUAGGUGCUAUUUGAAAAUGGGCUUUUAUGUAGUUAAUAAACACAAAUUUUCCCCCUUUAGGAGGACUUCAUAGAGAUAGUUUCACACUUUAUAGUAGUUUCAAAAAUGAAUAAUUUGACACUAGGUUGAGAAUCCAAAUCAGACUACUGUAAGCAGAUGUGACAUCCAGAAGGUUAACCCUAGCAUCUGGUAUGCCCUCCUAUGGCAUUAUGACAUGGGUUUUAGAAUUGCAACAUUGACCAAUGUAUGUUUAAGAACAGAAUAUGUCAAAGAAGGUCACAUAAACAAUGUGAGAAUGAGAAAGGGGGAGGGAGAGAAUAUAACAUUGGAAGAAAAUUGCAAUGAUAUCGCAGGCUAUAGAAAUGUUGAGAAAUUUUACAGAUAUGUACAUAAAGGAGCCAGGAUUUUUGGUUAUGCAUAAUGAAUAAAUACAAUCAUACAGUCAAAUUACCUCAUUUUCCCUCUCCUAUUUAUAGACUUUUUAAAAUAGGUUUUUCACAAAUAAACACCAAACUUGGAGCUAACAUGGCCAAGUGCAUCCAUACUUUCUGCUCUCUUCCUGUUCACUACCUUUAGGUGAGUUAAACUGGCAUGCAGGGCUUUUACUUUAAAUUGAUAUUCUAAUUCCUGCUAAAGCAACCUGAAAGGGAAGCAUAUUAACAAAAUGUUUGGAGGACUCCUGAUAAUAAAGUGCAUUCUAUCCAUGGUAAAAGUAAUGAAAGUUGAAACUUAAAAAUAUUCACAAUUGUACCAACAUUUAAUUAGCAAUGCCACAUCACUGUUGGCACCAGAAAGCCCUGAAUAAACUAUUGUUGUGGGUUUGCUGAUAGACAGCUUGUCAGGAAAUGAUCAGUAUUGGCAAUGAUUUGGGGCUAAUUUCAUGGAUGUUUUCCAGUUUCCGUGAUCUUCCUUUCCCCUUUUCCAAACAAAAGUGCUUCUGAAAAUUUCUGUUUAACAUCUUUCACUUCGAAUAAAGAAAACACAAAACAUUCCCCUUGCAGCUGGUAUUGGUGAAAUUACUUCUCUGGAGGGACCUGCAGAUGAGGGGUCUUGUUUGAGAAGCACCAGGCAGAAGAAAGUCUUCAAGAUGUCUGUGUUUUUUCUUAAUCUGAGAUCACUCCCGUUUUAGUGUCUAUCCACUUCCUGUUGGGAAAUGUACCAGAGGCAUCAGAAAGAUCCAAAGAUUGAUCUGAGUAAAAUAAAACAUUCAUUUAAACUCACUGGUUAUACAGUAUUAUCUUUAACAAAAGCUAUAUUAUGAUAAAAUCCAUAUCAGUUUCUAAGAGGCGAUGUUUUUCCUCCAGAGCUGAAUAACGUCACCUGAUCUAUUUGUUUCUCUGUGUGAAAUAAAUUAACUUUUCAAAUGUAAUAUAAAAGAAGACAGAACCAAACUUCACAAAUGUUGACAAACAAUCUAAAUCAUUACACUUCCCAAAUCAAAUGGAACAUAUGUUUUCCCCAAUUUUUUUCUGUAUAAAGUAUGCAAACAAUUACCCGGAUUUGGAGGGUAUAAUUAUGAAGGGGUUGAUAUCUAAAAGGUUAUUAUUGAUUUAUAAAGUUCUCUAGUUUAAUCGAAGACAGAUUUAGGAAUUGGAAAGAAAAUACUGCUUUCUCCAGGAACAAUAAAUGUCCCAAAAGGGAAAUGUAAGAUUUAAGAGUAAUUUUUAUAAGACAUAUAUACUGCAGUUUGUGGAUCUGGGAGGUGUUUCUCAUUCGAACUUCUAUGUAAUGAACAUUUUGUAGAACCAUCUCACUUAUUGUAGUGUAUUUUAUAUGCCUUAAAAUGCAGUAAUUAAAUUCCUAGAGUAAUUUUUGUUGAGUUUGAAUGCCUCAUUUUACAUUAUGGAUUUAUAAUCCUCAGUCUGCAGAUUUAGUACAUAUAACAAGUAUAAAAUAUUUAAACAAUAAAUUUAGUUUAAUUUACUCCCCAUCAGGUAUAAAUGUUCUUUCUCUGUGUCUCCAGUAUGCAUGCACACACACACACACACAGAGCACAAGUUCAUUCAUCUAAUGUUGGUUAAUGUGAUAUUGCUUAAUAUUGUGGUUGUAUAAUAAAAAUUAAAUCUUUCAUGGACUCUUAUACUUUAGUUUUAUAUGCAGGUUUAAUUAUUGCAAUGUAUUUAUUAAAAACAUUUUUUUUCUUUUUAGGACCACACUAGUGGCAUAUGGAUGUUCCCAGGCUAGGGGCUGAAUCAGAGCUGUAGCUGCUGGCCUAUACCAUAGCCACAGCAAUGCCAGAUCCAAGCUGCAUCUGUGACCUAUAGCACAGCUCAUGGCAACGCUGUAUCCUUAACCCACUGAGCAAGGCCAGGGAUCGAACCUGCAUCCUCAUGGAUAGUAGUUGGGUUUGUUAACCACUGAGCCAUGUUGGGAACUCCAAAAGAAAUUUUUUAAAAAUCAAAAUUUCUUCUUUUAGGGAAAAAGUUAAUUUCCUUUUUGAUUUCAUCAUUGACCCACUAGUUUUUUUUUAGUAGCAUAUUGUUUAGACUCCAUGUAAUCAUUUUUCUCCUUUCUUUUUCUGUGGUUGAUUUCUAGAUUCAUGCUGUUGUGGUCAGAAAAGAUGCUUGAGAUACUUUCUAUACCUUUAGAUUUGUUGAGGACUUUUUUGUGCCCACAUACUAAUGUGGUCAGUCCUAGAGAAUGUUCCAUGUGUAUUCAAAAAGAAAGUGUAUUCUUUUUUUUUUAAUGCAAUGUCCUGAAAAUAUAAUUUAAGUCUAAUUGUUCUAUUACGUCAUUUAGGAUCUCUGUUGCCUUAUUAAUUUUCUGUCUAGAAUAUCUGUCCAUUGAUGUGAAUAGGGUGUUAAUGUCUCCUACUCUUAUCGUAUUCCCAUCAAUUUCUCCCUUUAUGUCUAAUAGUAUUUGUUUUAUGCAUUUGCAUGCUUCUAUAUUAGGUGUGUAUAUGUUAACGAGUGUAAAAUCCUCUUCUUGUAUUGAUUCUUUUAUCAUUAUGUAGUGUUCUCCUUUAUCUUUUUUAUGCCCUUGGUUUGAAAUCUACUUUGUCUUGUAUUGCUAACCCUGCUUUCUUGUCAUUUCUGUUUGCAUGAAAUAUCUUUUUCCAUCCCCUUGCUUUCAAUAUCUGUGUAUCCUUGGCCCUAAAGUUAGUCUCUUGUAGGCAAUAUUUUGUAGGCUCUCACUUUUUAUCCAUUAUGCUACUCUUUGUCUCUUGAUUGGAGUAUUUGACAUUUAAGACAUUCCCAAAGAUGGUAAUAGCUAAGGACUUCUGGCCAAUAUGACACAACAAGGAUUGGAUUUACCUCACACCUUAUGCAAAUUGAAAACUGGACAAAAUAUGUGAAACAAGUAUCAGACAUUGGACCUCAGAAGCACAGGACUGUUUUCCCUGAGAGAAGGGAAACAAAUACAAUGAGUCCUAUGAUUAUAACAGCUUAAUGACUAAAAUCAAUUUCCAAGCUGCAACA